This 253-nucleotide ribosomal RNA is filed under the name uncultured bacterium. RNAcentral describes it as "partial 16S ribosomal RNA". It matches the Rfam family "Bacterial small subunit ribosomal RNA", at positions 524 to 776 of the family's 1533-position model. The record is from RNAcentral.
UACGUAGGGGGCAAGCGUUGUCCGGAAUCAUUGGGCGUAAAGCGCGUGUAGGCGGCUGAGUAAGUCUGCUCUGAAAGCCCGGGGCUCAACCCCGGGAGGCGGGUGGAUACUGCUCAGCUCGAGUCCGGAAGAGGAGUGUGGAAUUCCUGGUGUAGCGGUGAAAUGCGCAGAUAUCAGGAGGAACACCGAUGGCGAAGGCAGCACUCUGGGACGGUACUGACGCUGAGACGCGAAAGCGUGGGGAGCAAACAGG